RNAcentral lists this ribosomal RNA (464 nucleotides) under uncultured bacterium. Its description in RNAcentral is "partial 16S ribosomal RNA". It matches the Rfam family "Bacterial small subunit ribosomal RNA", at positions 339 to 795 of the family's 1533-position model. The record is from RNAcentral.
CUACGGGCGGCUGCAGUGGGGAAUAUUGCACAAUGGGCGCAAGCCUGAUGCAGCCAUGCCGCGUGUAUGAAGAAGGCCUUCGGGUUGUAAAGUACUUUCAGCGGGGAGGAAGGGAGUAAAGUUAAUACCUUUGCUCAUUGACGUUACCCGCAGAAGAAGCACCGGCUAACUCCGUGCCAGCAGCCGCGGUAAUACGGAGGGUGCAAGCGUUAGUCGGAAUUACUGGGCGUAAAGCGCACGCAGGCGGUUUGUUAAGUCAGAUGUGAAAUCCCCGGGCUCAACCUGGGAACUGCAUCUGAUACUGGCAAGCUCGAGUCUCGUAGAGGGGGGUAGAAUUUCAGGUGUAGCGGUGAAAUGCGUAGAGAUCUGGAGGAAUACCGGUGGCGAAGGCGGCCCCCUGGACGAAGACUGACGCUCAGGUGCGAAAGCGUGGGGAGCAAACAGGAUUAGAUACCCCUGUAGUC